This 5949-nucleotide long non-coding RNA is filed under the name Taeniopygia guttata (zebra finch). Its description in RNAcentral is "lncRNA (ENSTGUG00000022302.1)". Lineage: Eukaryota; Metazoa; Chordata; Aves; Passeriformes; Estrildidae. The record is from RNAcentral.
UUUUUUUUUUUUUUUUUUUUUUUUUUUUUGUGGUUUCAGCAAUUCAGUAAGGGUUAUUAGUAAUUGUUGAUCUAAACAGUAGUUAAAAGGAAAGAACUGUGGGUUUGCACAUGGAUGUUAGCAUGGCCUUUUUUGUGCCAUUUAUCAAUCAAUAGGAUUUUUUCAGUGCUGCUGAUUUCAUUUGUCUCUGUUGCUCGGUGACAUAGUAAGAAAUACACAGCAGCUUACCCAAAAGUUAUUUAGACCUGUUGUCUGACACAGCCUCUUAAAGCUAAAGGAGCUAAAGGAACUGCUGAAAGGACUAAGUUUAGUGGUGGAUCUUGAGACAAAAGGGAUUCCUCUGUUAUUUUAGCAAGUGAUAUUAUCUACUUUGGUAUUUCUUCCCUGGGAACUCUCUCCAGGGAAUGACCUGUUGUUUUCAAAGUUAUUUAGCACAUUCAGAAAAAGAAGAAAAAAAGGAAAUAAAAGAAAUGUGAAAGUUUUCCAAGUUGUCCUGACAGAAGGGUUUGGAACUGAAUGAUCUUCAAGGUCUCUUUCAAAACAAACCAUUUUAUGAUUGAAGUGGAGUACUUGGGAAUGGAGCAUAGUGAAAACAAACCCUCUUAUGGAGCAAGAUCUCUAUGAGUACUGUCCAUUACAUCUGCCUUUAUAUUUUACUUGAUCAGUGUCAAGUCUCUUUGACUGCCCAAACUUUCCUUUUUCCUCUCUGCUAUCUGGCCAAACUUAGUCUAUAUAAACUUGUUUUACCCUUCUGCUCUACUUUUUUUUCAUUGUCGUUCUCAAACUUGAGAGCCCUCUGGCUGUCUAGGGUUCAGGCAAAAAAUAUAUAUUAAAAAAAAAAAAAAAAGAGUUAUUGGUGCAUGCUCAGUUUCUGGGGCCACGAAGAACUUUCUGUUCUUCAGUUUCAAGCUGAUAUUCCUAGAUUUGCCAAGUCUUUUAGGAAAACUGUUGUGCCUGAUGAAGAGCCCACCUGUGGCACACAGUGGGAGUGUGACAGGCUCUUAUACUGCUCUCCUCUGCAGUUUCAGGCAGGUGGGACUGGCAGGAGUAGGGCAGAGCAGUGGUAAGGACAGACAUGGCAGUUAGUGGUUCUGCCAGCCUCCUCCAUAGAGAAUUUAACAUGGCAGGGCAGGUCUUUGCCUCAUGAAGGAGGGCCAGAUGGAGGAAAAAAAGGAGAUGAUGCCCCAUGGAAACAGAUCGUGAGUGAUGGAGCCUUUGUACCCCCAACCCCUGUGCUUGCUCUUAACUAUCGGUUUCAUUUUGGUCUCUUUUGACUAAACAUGAUAAAGAAAAGCUGUGAUUUAUGUGAGAACAGUAGGGAGGGCAUUGUUACUUCCUUUCUCCAUUUCCCUCCACUCCAGACCCAACCCAGCUGCCUUAGGUAGGACUUGUGCAGCUCUUUUCUUCACAAGUUUCACUCCAGCAGUUAAUGUUUUGACCAGGCCUUUGGUGGUCCCUCCUGAAUCCUGCUGGCAGCGCACAGGAGCCUGUCUACUCCUGGCAGAGCACCUGGUUCACCUUUGUGAACUGGACUGCUUGAAGGAAAAGCCAUGCUGUACUUAUUCUUUUAUGUAACCAAGAAAACCAGGAUAGUUCUUGAAUUAACACAAAAUGAUGGAUCCCAGCAAAUAUGGGUAACAUUCUCAAGCAGGAUGGGUUUCCCUAACAUUUGUGUGGUCUGAGGGGAAGCUUCUCUUGCACAGUGAGAUCCAUACAUCUGAGGCACUUUCUGUUUCUAUGCUGAAAUGUGAGCUGCUAAUUAUGCCUCAAGUUCACCCUGAACGAUUGCAACUCUGCACACAUUGCACAAGUUUGACACACCCGUGCUAUUAGCAGCAGGUGUUAGUGUUUCCUAAUGGAAUUCUUUUGUGGUUACAGAGUAGGCUUUGUACAUCUGGAAAGAAAACCCACACAGCUUUGCAUUGAUUAAUAGCAUUACCAUCUUGCUUAGUCAGAACAUGGUGUUUAUUGAUAUGCUCUGGUAUCAGCACAGCCAUUUCCACAGAUGAGUUUCAGCACUUAGUCCCAUGUUGUUGGCUUAUGAACAUAGAAUCCAGGCUCUGCCCUUGGAGGGAAAUGUACUAUCACAUCACCUACACUUAAUAUUAACUACUGUAAGGCUUAUUUAGCACUCAUUUCAUAAAGCUGCCAGAAAGUGUUUCUCUCAUUUAAAACAUACUUGAGGCUAUUUUAAGAGUCCAGUACCUCAAGGCAGGUCUUUUCAUCUUAAGCUAAAGCAAGCCAAUAACUAUUUCAUUAUUCAGAAGACUCUGAUCCUGGUUGACAGGUGAACAAAGCCAGAUGCUAGAAUUCUUAGGAAAUGCAGCAUAGACAUAGACUGUAAAAACAGGGAGGUUGCUUAAUAGCUGGACUUGAGAGGGGAAUUCAAAUGUUGCAAAAUGUUCCAGUGCAUCCUAUCUAUUUUAACAUGGUAAUGCACACAGUUAAAGCACAAUUCUGAGACAGUUUAAAAAAAGAUAGAAGGGAUUAUAAGCUAUAACCAUAUAACCAUAAAUAAUAAUAUAUAAAUAUAAAAAAACAUACUAUACAAAGAAUAAAUAUGAUUGAAGUUAUGUGGUGAUGUUUCUCUUGUUUUGUUAUGAGGCUGCUGUUAAUACGGACAUUUUCAAAGCUGGAAGGCUGACUGGAGAUGAUCAGAUCAGUAUUUCCUAUAGGUCAGGAUUUUAGGAUAGGAUUUUGUCCAUCAAAUCAUGAUCAGUUUGCAAGCUGUCUGUCUCCAUACAACAUCCUUGGUGCUUGGGUUACAGAGCAUCAAAGAAAUGCAAGCUCAAAAUUGGCAACACAGAAUGUACUAUUAUGUGAUCAAAAAGCCUAUCUACUACCUAACCAAAAGUGGAAAUUUCUACUAUUCCUAGCAAAAACAAACAUCACAAUAUCUUGCAUAUUAAGAUGCAAAAAGAAGCAGUCAUGUGAACAUAAAUCUGGUUUGUUUCUAUAAAGAAAUACAUUUUGAUAAGAGGGAACCCAUCUCCCACACUGCACAGACCAGACUAACAUUACUGGAAUACCUUCAGUAGUGUAAGGUCUGAUACUCCUUUGGGAAGUCUCAGACAAUCUUAUUUAGUUGCUAUUCCUAUGUUGUAGCAUCAAACAUUUGAUUUGGAUAGUAUUAUUGUAUGUGAAUUACCAAAUUUCUUCUUUCAUGUCUUCCGGAUGAAAUACAUGUAGGAGCUUUCAGAAGAGAACUUUUGUCUACUCAAAUUGAAAUUCAAAUCGACCAUCUUUGGAAUAGGCUCCAUUGUCCAGCCUGCUGCACUGUGUGCCUCCUUCACUGCAUGUGUGGCACCCUGUAAAUCCCUGGCACUGAGAUGUGAUCAUGGAAGAUUACCAGGAUUUUUGAAGCAAAAUUGCAAAAAUUUAUUUUGAAUUAUAUUGUGGGAAAUGGGAGUAGAGGGGUAGAGUUUCUGGAGGGGGAAAUCCCCAUCACCCUCUACAGAAUACCUUGAUCUUGUUUUCUGGUCUUGCCUGUCUGGGCCAUACUUAAGCCUGUAGCUAGGUGGGAUUUUGGACAGUCGAUGGCUUUCCUGGCCUCUGUCAACAGCUGCCAGUUCACAUCCACAAGCAAAGGAACCUUCUGCGAGUACUAGCCCAGAUCUUACUUUUAUGUCUACUGUCACCCUGAAAUAAAUGGAUGCAUAAUGGUGAGCCUAAGAAACAUAAGCCUAGGUAGAGUUAAGCCCAAAUCUGGUUCAGCUCAGGUAGUGUGUGCCUGUAACCCAGCCAGCCACCUGAAAUUCUGCUUAUUUUUAUUGUGGGUUCUGCCAUUUGAGUAUUGUAAUCAGGAAUGGAGCAUGCCUGUUUGAUGAAAUUUGGGUGUCAAAGGCAUUUCCCCUAUGUUUCAGUGUAAAAGAAUACAUUCUGAGAGAACCUUUACUUUGACCUGUGCAUGUAUGUGUCAGUUCUAUUGCGCAAGACCUUGCUGACUGGCCAGAUCAUGUAUCUAGACUAAAAGCACUUGGAGAGCAUUCCCAUGGCAGCAGGUGCAGUGGCCAUUUUAACAGGAUAAAAUUCUAACACAGAUUUUGUCCAUCUGUUGUCUAAAUCUUCAAUGAAUUCCACAUUUCCUGCUCCUACUGAAGCCAGUAGAGCUUGAGAAAGGAUUAUCCUGAAAAAAGUGCCCCAGAAUCUGAGUAACCUUCUUUGUGAACACAGUCUAUUUUACAGUAGAAAAUUACAAAGAAAAAGUAAGGAUUUAAGCACAGCAUUGCCUAGGUGGUUCUAAAAACUUUUAAAGUUGUUUAAUUUUUAGUUUUUAAUUUUUUUUUUCAAUUUUAAGUUUAAAGUGAAGUUUAAUUUUUAAGUGUUAUCAGAUCUCCUGAAACCUUGAGAUAUGCUGCACUGAACAGAGAGCAAAGUUGCAUGCAAAACUGCUUUUCUGCUGGGAGAAAUCUGUUACUGGAAGUUUGUAAUAAAAAGUUUUUUGAAAUCUCUGCCACCCAGGGCAACUUCACUUUAAAUAAAAAAGACUAAGUGACUUUCUAAAAACAUUUCCUCUGGGAAGCUUGAAUAGGAGGAAUUUACACCUGAACUUGAGAGAUCCCUUUGAAUAAAUACUGACAUUUUACUAGGUUUUCCCUCAGGAAAUCACUGCUUUAAAGGUCUCACACCUUCAGCAGCUAAAAUCUUCUUGAUAAUAUUUCCUAUGACAAAUAGUUCACAUGGUUUUUCCUUGCUCAAGCCAGUUCACAGAUUUAUAUUGUGCUCACACCUGUUGUGGAAACAUGAGGUUUGCAGAGGAAAUUCUCAGGUGAAGCCCUGCAUCCACUGAAAAUGUGAAUUGCUCUGUGCAAUUAAGACACCCAAGUUUGAAUUUUUGAAGAAAAGCAGCAUUUAAGCUAUCACCUCUGGUCCUGUGCAGAGCUGCAAAGGCUCAAGCACAUGCAGUUCCAGGUAGGCACACUUCACGUCUUUUUAUUUUUAAGAGACUAAAGUAUAGAAAUAGAUAAAGUACAAUUUUACUUACUCUCAGAUGUCUGACUAACCGUGACUGCUAGAACAACCAAAACAGUGACAAAUUUCACAUCCAUUCCUCCUUGGAGCUGCGGGAGCACAGCCACAGAGCAGGUGGUGAGCUGCAGGACUAACACCUGACCCUACCUGCUGGCUGCUGGGGAUGAAUGUGCCUUGAAGCCCCACCCUGAGCAGCAGCUUGGCGUCAGUUCUGUCCUGUGUGGCUCUAUGGACUUCAGCAGGAUUCCUCCUCUUACCUGAAGAUGAGUGGUUCAGUUUUUUUGCCAGAUGGGAAGACAGGCUGUGUUUCACACAGUUCCCCAAGAAGGUACUGCCUUACAGCCUUGCAGUCCUUCUCACCCAUGAGGCUUUUCAGCAACAGACUUGCCAAGGGUAGGAGUACUUCAGAAACAAGUACUUGCAGGAUUGAGAAUUAAGAAAAAAAACUUUCUGCUUUUAGGUGUCACCUGCAUGGAAGCUACACGUGCAAUGCUGUGGGCCAAACCUGCUGUAGUACAAGAAAUACAAUGUCAAGAAGACCUCAGCCUUGAUCCAGCUUUGCAUUUGACCUAGGCAAUUUCAGUCUGUAAGGACUAUGUUAUUCCUGUCACACUUGGCUUUCAGCACUGUUUUGAAGCUUCCAAACCUCUAAAAAUAUUACUGUGUGGUUUCAGCCUGAACUGAGCACAGUGGUUGUAAGAGUAGAGAGCAACUGCUAUACUCCACCACAGGCAGUGCAGUGAAGGCUGCCUGCUUUGACCUUUCCCAGGGCUCAACUAGAAAAUCAGUCUGGGAAUUUCUUACCUAUUCAACCAAGCUCAUCCUUGCUUUGUCUCAUUACAUCAUUCUUACUAUUUCUAAAUUUCCAGACCACAAGGUAGAAGAAAUUUCUAACUUCAGGGACUUUAGUCUAUACUUACACUGUCCCAACACUGGUUUUGCAAUUUCUUCUAAUAAUAAAUUAAUAAAGUGCGAUCA